GUUUCUGAAGGGUAGGGAACCCAGGACCUUCACGUUGAACAAAGGAGAGAGAGAGGAGCCCCUUUCCCUCCAGUUUGUUUACCAAUGAACGAACGCGUGUCUACAGCAGAGUGGGGGGAAAAUAAAGGAAGCCAACGCGUAAAUAGAAGCAAAGUCAAAUUCAAAUUAAAAGAGCCACAGACGGCCAAGAAAUUUGCAGCGCAUUCGCCAUUGUACCCAUAUCCCUGAAGACAA
This is a long non-coding RNA of Heteronotia binoei (common prickly gecko), 234 nucleotides long. RefSeq lists it as uncharacterized. The record is from RefSeq and is a predicted model, not a curated record. NCBI's taxonomy places the organism in Eukaryota, Metazoa, Chordata, Lepidosauria, Squamata, Gekkonidae. The transcript is spliced from 2 exons.